This 253-nucleotide ribosomal RNA is filed under the name uncultured bacterium. RNAcentral describes it as "partial 16S ribosomal RNA". It matches the Rfam family "Bacterial small subunit ribosomal RNA", at positions 524 to 776 of the family's 1533-position model. The record is from RNAcentral.
UACGUAGGGGACGAGCGUUGUCCGGAAUUAUUGGGCGUAAAGAGCGUGUAGGCGGCUCUGCAAGUCCUGCGUGAAAUCUCGAGGCUCAACCUCGAGCGGUCGUGGGAAACUGGAGGGCUAGAGUGCGGGAGAGGGAAGUGGAAUUCCAGGUGUAGCGAUGAAAUGCGCAGAUAUCUGGAAGAACACCCGUGGCGAAGGCGGCUUCCUGGAACGACACUGACGCUGAGACGCGAAAGCGUGGGGAGCAAACAGG